CCUAGUUAGCCCUUUUUGUCCUCGUAAACUGUCAAAUGCAUUCAAAAGAAUCGGUCUAUCAGCAUGUUGAAAACAAAUAAAUAAAAACAGAACUACUUUUCCAAAGGUUCCUAGUUCGAUUUUGAAAUAAUUAAGUUUUUGUUUUCUUCAGCACAGCAUAAAAAGGUAGUCGAAUGAAAUCUCAUACCGAGGAUAUCUUUACCGGCCGUGGUCUCUCCAUCUUCGUUUCAUCGGUUGACAUCGAGAAAAUCCUAUCAGAAAACACGUAUCGAAACAUUUGUAGUGCGAGAGGAACCUUCCAUCUUUGGCUUGGGUGUUUGUUUGGUGACUGCGGUAGACGAGACGACAGCCUGAAAAAGAUGUGUCUUCACGAUUCUUGGUUGGAAUCACCAUUUGUUUGGACUGGCUAUCGAGUUGAGCUUGUUUCGAUUCCAGUGAUGGGUACUGAAAAUAUUUUAGUGAGAGAACCGUACCGGAGGUUUAAACCGUUUGAUCCUGUGUGAGAACAGACUACGCGAGGCCAUUAUGCAUACCAAGAUUCUUAUAUAGUUAAUUAUGUGAAGAUUUCGUUCUACUGAUGUUCACGAAAAAAAAUAUGUGUUUGUUUCAUCGCUAGAACUGAAAUCUACAACGUGGACUAUAAUACAGCAUAAUUUUCUUCUAUGCUUUCGGGUAAUCUGCUGUCAUGCGUGGUCAAAUGGACCAUCCCUCCAGUUCGGGAUAGAGCAUAAUCUAUGUCCUGGGAAGCCUUCCGCCAAAGGCCUGUAUUCUCAUGUUGUAUGCUCAACUCAAUACCAAUCAUAACUGGUACGGCAGUUUUUCGAUGGUCGUUGCCAGCUUUGAAGCCUAGAUUUGUGUGGGAUGUCAAAAUCUACACAACAACGGUCAAUCUAUGGCAGGUGAGAGCUACUGGUAUAAAAAUUGUUCUGGUUUUGGAUUGUGGGCGUUGCUCUUUACGACAAAGUUUAACUCCCACAUCCCAGGCAGCGCCACAGGUUUCUAGAAUAGAGCGUGGAAAUUCAAACAGCACCUGCAUGCAGAAAAUCGAUUACCUUUU
Aedes aegypti (yellow fever mosquito) is the source of this 1057-nucleotide long non-coding RNA. RefSeq lists it as uncharacterized. Lineage: Eukaryota; Metazoa; Arthropoda; Insecta; Diptera; Culicidae. The record is from RefSeq and is a predicted model, not a curated record. The transcript has 2 exons.